GACGAACGCUGGCGGCGUGCCUAAUACAUGCAAGUAGAACGCUGAAGCGAGGAGCUUACUCUUCUUGGAUGAGUUGCGAACGGGUGAGUAACGCGUAGGUAACCUGCCUUGUAGCGGGGGAUAACUAUUGGAAACGAUAGCUAAUACCGCAUAACAAUGGAUGACACAUGUCAUUUAUUUGAAAGGGGCAAUUGCUCCACUACAAGAUGGACCUGCGUUGUAUUAGCUAGUAGGUGAGGUAAUGGCUCACCUAGGCGACGAUACAUAGCCGACCUGAGAGGGUGAUCGGCCACACUGGGACUGAGACACGGCCCAGACUCCUACGGGAGGCAGCAGUAGGGAAUCUUCGGCAAGGGGGGCAACCCUGACCGAGCAACGCCGCGUGAGUGAAGAAGGUUGUCGGAUCGUAAAGCUCUGUUGUAAGUCAAGAACGGGUGUGAGAGUGGAAAGUUCACACUGUGACGGUAGCUUACCAGAAAGGGACGGCUAACUACGUG
This 497-nucleotide ribosomal RNA is filed under the name uncultured bacterium. RNAcentral's name for it is "partial 16S ribosomal RNA". It matches the Rfam family "Bacterial small subunit ribosomal RNA", at positions 28 to 507 of the family's 1533-position model. The record is from RNAcentral.